Long non-coding RNA from Amphimedon queenslandica, 274 nucleotides. RefSeq lists it as uncharacterized. The record is from RefSeq and is a predicted model, not a curated record. NCBI's taxonomy places the organism in Eukaryota, Metazoa, Porifera, Demospongiae, Haplosclerida, Niphatidae. The transcript is spliced from 3 exons.
CGCCUCCUCUGCAGUCCGCGCAUGCGCAGUAGGUUGAUUGGAGGACUUAGUCUAUUUCCUGGAGUUGUCUUUUGUGUGUUGCCUGUGAGGCUGUGAAACUUAGUUUUUUUUCAAGAGUAGAUUUUUAGUAGUAUUAGGCAUAAAUAUAUCAACAGUAAUAACUUUGUGUAGAUUUUUAGAUGAAAUAGUACAAUUAGUGAGUAAUUUAUCUUCAGGAUGGACAAGAAAAUGAAAUCUUCAGGUAAGCAUUCUCAAUUCUAUAUGUACAGUACAU